CCUUAACAAAGCAGCAAAUGGAAAAUCUCAAUGGAUUAAAUGCUCCUUUUUGUCUCCACAUCAAUAUUUCAUAAAGGAAUUACACCUAGUAUGUUCCACUCCUACUGCUCAUUGUGCACAGAUAAGCAAGCAACUGUGGGUCAGCACUCAGGAUGACGUGCACCAAAUAUCACUAAUAUUAGUUAGUUCUUGCCAAGCCCAAACUGCUAUUAUUCCCCACUUGUUUCCCAUUAUCCUUGUCCUUCCCACUCUCCCCACCUACACAACAUUAAAAAUGUAACAGAGAAAUAUAGCUGUGGUGUCUGUGGGUUUUCCAGCUAUACGUUUUAAGCAGUCAGUGUUUAACAUCACCAGCACUGAGAUAACCACCUCAUCUAUAGCACUUUUCUCUUUAAAUACCCAAGUCCUCAAGGACAGUUCUCAGUUUUCGGAGGGGGAAAAUGAGGCAUUUGUGGAAGUGGGACUCAGCAACUAAGGCACGUGCUGAAUUUGGAAGCAAAAUGUAUCCUUCCCAGCUCCACCCCCUGGUGCUCUGCAGCAUCUCCACUCACAGCAGAGCAGUGAAGGCAACAUCUCCUUUCUGAUGUGAAUCUUCCCUGGAGCAGAACAGCCCUGAGCUCCAGCCUCACUGGCAAGAAAUAGAAAUGGUCCCUUCUCCAAACCAACAGUAUGCCCAGGUAAUGAUUAGGUGAGAAUGGGACCACCCUCCUCAGUAUGUUUCGUGACUGUAAAAGGAAGAAGGUCCUCCACGAAUUUCUUUCUUUUGCUUCACCUCAAACAGCCUGCGGAACAAGGCGGCCUCCCUCUGGGAUUUCAGUUAUUUGUGAAGAGGUCUUGUUCCUUUCACCAGCAGUACAGCACACAAAGCAUUCUUUCCCUGCUUUUUUUCAGGACUUCCACCCUGACACUGUUUCUUUGCCAUCCCGAAGACUUCAUGCCAGCAACCAGGGAUUAAAAAGACUGUUUGCAAGGAUGCGGAUGCUCUUGGCAAAUGAGGAAGGGCUCCAGGAAAUGAAGAAGGAUUAUCUCUGAAAAAUGCAAAGAAACUUGGUGAAGUGGAGUGCCACCACAUCCCAGGGAGCUACAAGUAGGUGCUCUUCACUUGCUGUCAGACAGAAAGUAUAUACAGACAGUUUUG
RNAcentral lists this long non-coding RNA (1138 nucleotides) under Anser brachyrhynchus (Pink-footed goose). Its description in RNAcentral is "lncRNA (ENSABRG00000014262.1)". Lineage: Eukaryota; Metazoa; Chordata; Aves; Anseriformes; Anatidae. The record is from RNAcentral.